Phasianus colchicus (ring-necked pheasant) is the source of this 2096-nucleotide long non-coding RNA. The record is from Ensembl. Lineage: Eukaryota; Metazoa; Chordata; Aves; Galliformes; Phasianidae.
CCCCCCGUUGCAAAUUGCAAAAUCGUGCGGUUCCCCCCUCCCCGAAUUGCAUCCCUCUGGGUGCAGAUUGGGGACAAACGGUGCAGAAUUGGUGCAAACGGGCGCUGUGUCUGCAGGGGGCCAUGGAGGAGCAGCGCCAGGAGGGUCCCGGCGGAGGGGGCCACCAAGAUGGCGUCCGUGGUGGCCACCAAGUGGUCAUCCUUAGGGACAAGCAAGAUGGCGGCCAUGGGGACAAACAAGAUGGCGGCCGUAGGGACAAACAAGAUGGCGGCCUCCGAGACGUCGGUCACAGGGACAACCAAGAUGGCGGCCGUCAAGAUGGCGGCCGUGGGGACGAACAAGAUGGCGGCCAUCAAGAUGGCGGCCACAUGGUCAACCAAGAUGGCGGCCACGGUGGUCAUCAAGAUGGCGGCCAUAGGGACAAACGAGAGGGUGGCCACCAAGAUGGCGGCCAUAGGGACAACCAAGAUGGUGGCCGUGGCCACAGCGUUACCCAUGGUGGCCACCAAGACGGCACCCACAGAGACAACCAAAAUGGCGGCCAUGUUGGCCACCACAACAUCGCCCAUGGCCACGAUGUCACCCACAGUGGCCACCAAGAGGACGUAUAUGGUGGCCACCAAGAUGGCGGCCACCAGGAGGACCACGACGUCACCCAUGGCCACAAUGUCACCCAUGGGAGCCCCCGGAAGGACUACCAUGGCGGCCACCAAGGUGGCCACCACGAUGGUGACAACCAAGACGGUGGCCACGAUGGCCACCAAGACGCUAGCCGUAGUGACAACCAAGAUGGCGGCCACGGCCAUGAUGUCACCCAUGGGUGCCACUGGGAGGAAACCUAUGAGGUGCCACCACCCUACAAGAAGCCACGGCGCUGCCACCGCUGUCCCACCGCCGUGUCACCCGGUGUCACCGCCACCAGCUCCCGCUGCAGGUCCUCCAGUGUCACCUCCACCAUCAGUGUCACCUCCACCAGUGUCACCUCCAUCGGUGUCACCCCAACCAUCGGUGUCACCUCCACCAGGUCCAGAGGUGCCACCACCACCACCCGUUCCCGAGGUGUCACCGUCACCCGGUCCCGAGGUGCCACCACCACCAGGGCUGUGUCCAAAGCCACCGGAGAUGCCACCACCAUGAUGGACACCUCCGGAACGGUGACAACCACCGGAGGUACCGCGGUUGUGAUGGACGCCUCCAAAAGCACCGUCGGAGCUGUCACGGCCACCAGAGGUGCCACCACCAGAAGUGCCACCACCAGAGGUGCCACCACCAGAGUUGCCAUGAGCCUGGUGACAACCACCAAAGGUACAACCAGCAGAGGUACCGCCGGAGACGUCACCAAAGGUAUCACCACCAGAUCUACAACCACCAGAUCUACAACCACCAGAUCUACAGGCACCAGAUCUACAGCCACCAGAGCUGCCACCACCAGAGGUGCAACCACCAGAGCUACAACCGUGAGGGACAUCAGGCGGGUGACAACCACCAGAGGUACAACCGGCGGUGCCACUGGAGAUGACACCGGUGGUACCAUCAGACGUAGUGUUGGGGGUACCAUCAAAAGAACCAUUGGAGAAACCAUCAGAGGAACCAUCGGAGGAACCAUCGGAGAAACCACCAGAGGAACCAUUGGAGAAACCAUCGGAGGAACCACCAGAGGAACCGUCGGAGGAACCAUCAGAGGAACCAUCGGAAACACCACUGGUGAUGACACUGGAGGUACAGUCGGACGUAGCGUUGGAGAAACCAUCGGAGGAACCGGUGGAGAUACCAUCAGAGGAACCAUCAGACGUACCCUGGGAGAUACCAUCAGAAGAACCACCGGAAACACCGUUAGAGGAACCAUCAGCCGUACCACUGGAGCUCCCACCGGAUGUACCAUCGGAAGUACCACCAGAGGAACCACCGGAGCCUCACCUGACGGCACAACCGGUGUCGAUACCACCGGAGAUGAUACCACCACCACCAACGGUGCCCGUGGUCACCCCAAACCCCCCUCAGACCCCACCACCACCCCUCCGGCUGACCCCAAACCCUCCCCAGGCCCCGCCAUCACCGCCAACAGUCCACCCAGCACCCGUGGUGACCCCAAACCC